This 253-nucleotide ribosomal RNA is filed under the name uncultured bacterium. RNAcentral describes it as "partial 16S ribosomal RNA". It matches the Rfam family "Bacterial small subunit ribosomal RNA", at positions 524 to 776 of the family's 1533-position model. The record is from RNAcentral.
UACGGAGGGUGCGAGCGUUGUCCGGAAUUAUUGGGCGUAAAGAGCUCGUAGGCGGCUUGUCGCGUCGUUCGUGAAAACCCACGGCUCAACUGUGGGCUUGCGGUCGAUACGGGCAGGCUGGAGUUCGGUAGGGGAGACUGGAAUUCCUGGUGUAGCGGUGAAAUGCGCAGAUAUCAGGAGGAACACCGGUGGCGAAGGCGGGUCUCUGGGCCGAUACUGACGCUGAGGAGCGAAAGCGUGGGGAGCGAACAGG